UUUCCAGCCCCUCCGCUCCUGGUGUACAAACAAUCCCCUAAUCUUAAGCAGCAAACUGAUGAUGAGUCAUCUGAUGAUAAGUCUCAAAGAAACCUGAGAUUUGGGAAAACUUGUUUCUAGUUUUGGAUUUUGUGACUGGGACUAUGUCUCUGUUUCAAGCUGAGUUGGUCCUUUUCUUCAUCUUCUACCAUCACCCAGGAAGAAAAACUCUGGCAUUUCCUACCACUAAGGGCAGAACACCCCCAAAUGGCAAUUUUCCAGCUGUGCAAAGGGAAGAAGUAAGAAGAGUUGAACUGCUGCAGACAACAUGUAUGACAUGGAAGGUGAUGAAGCCAAUGGAAGUUGUCAAGGAAAGAAUGGCAUAUUUAGCACAAUACUAG
This 380-nucleotide long non-coding RNA is filed under the name Crocodylus porosus (Australian saltwater crocodile). Its description in RNAcentral is "lncRNA (ENSCPRG00005014077.1)". Lineage: Eukaryota; Metazoa; Chordata; Crocodylia; Crocodylidae. The record is from RNAcentral.